GACGAACGCUGGCGGCGUGCUUAACACAUGCAAGUCGAACGGAAAGGCCCUGCUUUUGUGGGGUGCUCGAGUGGCGAACGGGUGAGUAACACGUGAGUAACCUGCCCUUGACUUUGGGAUAACUUCAGGAAACUGGGGCUAAUACCGGAUAGGAGCUCCUGCUGCAUGGUGGGGGUUGGAAAGUUUCGGCGGUUGGGGAUGGACUCGCGGCUUAUCAGCUUGUUGGUGGGGUAGUGGCUUACCAAGGCUUUGACGGGUAGCCGGCCUGAGAGGGUGACCGGCCACAUUGGGACUGAGAUACGGCCCAGACUCCUACGGGAGGCAGCAGUGGGGAAUAUUGCACAAUGGGCGGAAGCCUGAUGCAGCAACGCCGCGUGCGGGAUGACGGCCUUCGGGUUGUAAGCCGCUUUCGCCUGUGACGAAGCGUGAGUGACGGUAAUGGGUAAGGAAGCACCGGCUAACUACGUG
RNAcentral lists this ribosomal RNA (468 nucleotides) under uncultured bacterium. Its description in RNAcentral is "partial 16S ribosomal RNA". It matches the Rfam family "Bacterial small subunit ribosomal RNA", at positions 28 to 507 of the family's 1533-position model. The record is from RNAcentral.